This 79-nucleotide non-coding RNA is filed under the name Paenibacillus sp. TCA20. RNAcentral describes it as "Bacterial large subunit ribosomal RNA". It matches the Rfam family "Bacterial large subunit ribosomal RNA", at positions 2846 to 2925 of the family's 2925-position model. The record is from Rfam by way of RNAcentral. Lineage: Bacteria; Bacillati; Bacillota; Bacilli; Caryophanales; Paenibacillaceae.
UACGAGGUAGAUAGGCUGGGGGUGGAAGUGCAGCAAUGCAUGGAGCUGACCAGUACUAAUCGGUCGAGGGCUUAUCCUA